Molecule: long non-coding RNA, 2088 nt
Organism: Erinaceus europaeus (western European hedgehog)
Lineage: Eukaryota; Metazoa; Chordata; Mammalia; Eulipotyphla; Erinaceidae
Exons: 5
Source: RefSeq, a predicted model, not a curated record
GGCCAACCACGCGCCCUUUUCUGCCGCUUUUGUUCAAUUUCUGGCGGUGCUCUGGUGUGUUAAGCAUGGCGCGUUCCUGGCCACGUGGUUGCGAGCUCUCCGGGAAGCCCUGCAUGGGCCCUGAAUGCGCGGAAAGGGUAGCGGCCUGGAUCUUGGGCCCAGAAAGGGCCUCUCCAAUCUGCCAUCUCUGCCUAGAAAUGGGAGGUUCGUUCAAAUGCGUUUAAGUGUCUGCAGUUACUGUCAGCCAGGGACAUUGUAAACUUUAGACCCUGGUAACUAUCAAGUUGGCGGAGACGAAGAGAAAACUCUCUUGCAGGUGAAAUGGAUAUGUGAGGCACGCUCUGCUGCUGCUAGCAAAAUACCAUGUGGGAGCGCUAAAGUGACCGGAGAAUGCCCUUGGUGUGAGGAAACUGAAUUUAAUCUUCUGGAGUUUGGGCCAUUUGGAAUUUUAAGGAGCACAAUAAUAAAUAAGGAAAGUAAAUCUCUUUUGAUAGAAAAGACAGAAGAUAGGAUGUGAGUAAUUCUCCUGUCUGCCACUAGUGAACAAUAGAAGACUGAUCUCUUGAAUCCCCGGAAAUCCAUUUGGACCCCUGUCCUCUGACAUCGCCCCACAAGAUGACAUGACUAUAGUGCACCCCCUGAAACCCAUGAUGUGACCUGACACAAUCUGAAGAACCUGAUUCACAGACUCCAAGGACAGAAUUUUCUUACUGCCUUUCUCUUGCCCAUUGCUGUCUGCCCUUCCUGCUUCUGCUUUGCCUGUCACGUUUUGGUGGUUUCAGCUCAAUCUCUACAGAAAAGUGGAAUUCUGAUGGCUGACUUUCCCAUCAAGAUAGACGUGCAGCAUUUUAUCCCCUGGCAUUUCUUCCCCUGGUCAUCAGCAUUGGACUGACGCUGCUUCUAUUGGACUUACUGGUACACCUCUUAGACACUUUACACAACUUUACAGCAGCUUCCCUUUAUGCUGCUGGAUUUCUCAAAGACUGACUGCAGCAGUUCAUAGACUUUACAACCAAUUGUCUUGGGGACUAUACAACGCUGAAUAGCCCCUUCUCACUUGGCAGGCAACACCUCCUUUAGCCUGUUCAGCCCUGCCCCUUGAGGCAGGAAACGCCUUUUGAGGCAAGAAAUGCCCCUUUUCACCCACCAGGCCUCCCCUUGACAUUAAACCGGCUCUUGCUGCUCUCCUACUUGUCCCUUCCUGUCUUGUUCCAGUUCUUUUGAAAAUGCAUUCACGAUAUCAUUCAGGUUUAUGCCCAAAAGGUUUCUGUUCACCCCUACACUACUAUUCCUCUGUCAGAGAUGGAGCCUUUUACAGACACUGACCCAUUUAAAUGUGAUGAUUAGAUAGAAAGAUAAAGGAAAGAUGUAGAAAUAUUGUGAAGAGAUGGUGAAGCCUGGCAGAGUUUAACCUAUGAGAUGAGUCCCUCCAGGUAAGUCUCUCUCUCUCUACAGAGGGGUUGAGCAAAAGGGGGGACACAUAAAUCUCACAAGGUUGGUGGCUAUGUAAGUCUUUCCUCCCCCACAAAAACAUCCUACAUCUUCCCACCGGAGCCUGACAUUCCUUAAAAAACAUUAAGCCUGCUCCACUCUAAAUUUCCUAUACUGUGGCCAUUAGAUAAAUGGAAAGGGGAGGUGUUGGGAUAUUGUACAGUUGUGGUUGAACAUUGGCAGGGCCCACAAACCAUAUUUCCAUGCGAGUAUUAUUAUUUACGUAUCAGUCUUCUGCCUUGUUUUAAAAUGACUCCUCCACCACCACAUUACCCCCUCAGGGUAUUGCCCUUCCGCCUGCUAAAACCCUAGCAACCAUUGCUAUGGAAACUUUCUGCCUUCACAGAGUGGCUUGUUUUCUCCACCCCCUUUCCUAGUCAAUCCCAUUCCUUGUCACUUCCAGUUUUUACCCUAUAAAGCCCGCAGCUGUUCCAGUUUCGCUCUCUCUCUCCUUUCUUUUCCACAUCCUGACCUGGAGAAGGGCUGGUGAGCAUAGCAGGAGGCGGCCAUUUUGCUAGCUCCACGUGGCCUAAACCCGCUGUGCCCGCACCCAACUCUGGGGCGUCCAUGUGAAUAAAGAUUUGCGUGCCCGCUCCA